AAGAAAAUAUUAUAUAAAACUUCUAAUUUUAUUUAGGUAAUUUAUUUACCAUUUUCUUA
Molecule: transfer RNA, 59 nt
Filed under: Bathynella cf. rufa JHS-2017
Lineage: Eukaryota; Metazoa; Arthropoda; Malacostraca; Bathynellacea; Bathynellidae
Description: tRNA-Ser
Source: RNAcentral